GAUGAACGCUAGCGGCAGGCCUAACACAUGCAAGUCGAGGGGCAUCGCGGUGCAGCAAUGCACUGGCGGCGACCGGCGUACGGGUGCGUAACGCGUAUGCAACCUGCCCCGCACCGGGGGAUAGCCCGCCGAAAGGCGGAUUAAUACCCCAUGGUCCCGGGGGCCCGCAUGGGCAUCCGGGUAAAGCCUUGGCGGUGCGGGAUAGGCAUGCGUGCCAUUAGCUGGCUGGUGGGGUAACGGCCCACCAGGGCAACGAUGGCUAGGGGGUCUGAGAGGAUGGUCCCCCACACUGGUACUGAGACACGGACCAGACUCCUACGGGAGGCAGCAGUGAGGAAUAUUGGUCAAUGGGCGGAAGCCUGAACCAGCCAUGCCGCGUGCGGGAUGAAGGCCCUACGGGUUGUAAACCGCUUUUCCCCGGGAAGAAUAACCCCGAUGAGUCGGGGAUGCCGGUACCGGGGGAAUAAGGAUCGGCUAACUCCGUG
Molecule: ribosomal RNA, 485 nt
Filed under: uncultured bacterium
Lineage: Bacteria
Description: bacterial SSU rRNA
Rfam family: Bacterial small subunit ribosomal RNA
Source: RNAcentral